AAAGAAUACUCAUCACCACCAUUUAUUUGGAGGAAUUCCCUAGUUCUGAAGAUGUGGAGUGCAUACGUCAUUCAUAUAUGGAGAGUUGUGGAACUGACAUGCAGACUCCUGUCCCUGGCACAUACUUAAGAGUUGCCUUGAAUUCUGGAGUGUCCAUCAGCUGAAGAAUGGAAAGCCACAAGAAAAUGAAAAGAAAUCACAAAAUCAGCUUCCCAUGGCUACUGCUGCCACCACUGAUCAAGAAGCUCCUGCAGUACUGAUCAGCAAGAAGAGAACACUGCAUCUGAGGAGGCUGGGAAAUACAUCUUGAAAAUAUGGAGAAAUUAAAACCCUAUGUCAUUGACAAUGGGCAGUGGCAGAUAAAAGAGGACUGGUUGAUUAAUUCUCACCCCCUACAUGUUGUUCUGAGAUGCAGUGAUGCAUAUGACCUUUCUGAAGACAUCAGGAGAGACCAACCCAGCAAUCAGCUAGGCUGUUAAAAGCUUUGGUCAACUCAGUAACUUGUGUGCUUGUAUAUG
This 518-nucleotide long non-coding RNA is filed under the name Heterocephalus glaber (naked mole-rat). RNAcentral describes it as "lncRNA (ENSHGLG00000041352.1)". Lineage: Eukaryota; Metazoa; Chordata; Mammalia; Rodentia; Bathyergidae. The record is from RNAcentral.